Molecule: long non-coding RNA, 589 nt
Filed under: Brassica napus (rape)
Lineage: Eukaryota; Viridiplantae; Streptophyta; Magnoliopsida; Brassicales; Brassicaceae
Description: long non-coding RNA (BNAP_LNC020304)
Source: RNAcentral
GGUUUAUGAUUAAAAUUUCUUUUUUUUUUGUCAACUGUGUUUCAUUACUUUAAGCCCAUUGGGCAAUUACAUUUGGUACCAGUUUAUACAAAGAGAAGAGUCCAUUAAGCACUAAAAUAUUAAAUCAGCCCAAAAAAGAAACAUCCAGAAACUGCACAAGAUGGCGAUUGAUUCUUUCGACUCCACGUCUCUGGACACGCGUCCUUCAUGCGUUGAGCGGCAAUCUCGGCCGUACCGCUGAACCUAACCGCCGCAAGCUUCCGUAGACGCCUCUCUUGCCCUAUCUCUCCGCCGUAAAUUUCCGCCAGAUCAACUCAGAGAUGAUCCGAACAUGAAGAUCUGAUACCAAAUAUAAAGCUUCCCACUUUCAACCGUGAAUAUUCAAGCAGAGAACCCUUGAUUCACCUGAGUUAAGACAGAGGAAGUUGUGUAAAGGAUGACUAACCAUGUAAGAAUUUAAUUGGGAGUUGUGUCAUCUGUCAGUCUGACGCAUUGUGACAAAAUGACGGAUUAUACUAUACUUGGCGCGGAGUAUUGGUUUUAUUACUGGCAAGAACAUAAUUUUUUGAAUAAUAUAAUUAUGUUGUCA